Molecule: ribosomal RNA, 470 nt
Filed under: uncultured bacterium
Lineage: Bacteria
Description: bacterial SSU rRNA
Rfam family: Bacterial small subunit ribosomal RNA
Source: RNAcentral
UCUGGGCUAAUAGCCGGGCGGAUGACCUAAAGCUGAAAAGCACCGGCUAACUUCGUGCCAGCAGCCGCGGUAAUACGAAGGGUGCAAGCGUUACUCGGAAUUAUCUGGGCGUAAAGCGUGCGUAGGCGGUUCGUUAAGUCCGAUGUGAAAGCCCUGGGCUCAACCUGGGAACUGCAUUGGAAACUGGCGGGCUGGAGUGCGGAAAAGGGAGGGGGAAUUCCCGGUGUAGCAGUGAAAUGCGUAAAUUUCGGGAGGAACAUCCGUGGCGAAGGCGGCCUCCUGGACCAGCACUGACGCUAAGGCACGAAAGCGUGGGGAGCAAACAGGAUUAAAUACCUUUGUUUUUUCUACGCCCUAAACAAUGCGAACUGGAUGUUGGGUGCAACUUGCCACUCAGGAUCGAAGCUAACGCGUUAAGUUCGCCGCCUGGGAAGUACGGUCGCAAGACUGAAACUCAAAGAAAAUUUGAC